CAGUAGCCGCGGUAAAACGUAGGGUGCAAGCGUUAGUCGGAAUUACUGGGCGCAAAGCGUGCGCAGGCGGUUCGUUAAGACAGAUGUGAAAUCCCCGGGCUUAACCUGGGAACUGCAUUUGUGACUGGCGGGCUAGAGUAUGGCAGAGGGGGGUAGAAUUCCACGUGUAGCAGUGAAAUGCGUAGAGAUGUGGAGGAAUACCGAUGGCGAAGGCAGCCCCCUGGGCCAAUACUGACGCCCAUGCACGAAAGCGUGGGGAGCAAGCAGGAUUAGAUACCCGCGUAGUCCCUGUCUCUUAUAC
Molecule: ribosomal RNA, 301 nt
Filed under: uncultured bacterium
Lineage: Bacteria
Description: partial 16S ribosomal RNA
Rfam family: Bacterial small subunit ribosomal RNA
Source: RNAcentral